AGGACGAACGCUGGCGGCGUGCUUAACACAUGCAAGUCGAGCGGUAAGGCCUUUCGGGGUACACGAGCGGCGAACGGGUGAGUAACACGUGGGUGAUCUGCCCUGCACUUCGGGAUAAGCCUGGGAAACUGGGUCUAAUACCGGAUAUGACCUCCUAUCGCAUGGUGGGUGGUGGAAAGAUUUAUCGGUGCAGGAUGGGCCCGCGGCCUAUCAGCUUGUUGGUGGGGUAAUGGCCUACCAAAGGCGACGACGGGUAGCCGACCUGAGAGGGUGACCGGCCACACUGGGACUGAGACACGGCCCAGACUCCUACGGGAGGCAGCAGUGGGGAAUAUUGCACAAAUGGGCGAAAAGCCUGAUGCAGCGACGCCGCGUGAGGGGAUGACGGGCCU
RNAcentral lists this ribosomal RNA (392 nucleotides) under uncultured soil bacterium. RNAcentral's name for it is "bacterial SSU rRNA". It matches the Rfam family "Bacterial small subunit ribosomal RNA", at positions 26 to 418 of the family's 1533-position model. The record is from RNAcentral.